This 315-nucleotide ribosomal RNA is filed under the name uncultured eukaryote. Its description in RNAcentral is "partial 18S ribosomal RNA". It matches the Rfam family "Eukaryotic small subunit ribosomal RNA", at positions 1470 to 1796 of the family's 1831-position model. The record is from RNAcentral.
CCCUUAGAUGUUCUGGGCCGCACGCGUGCUACACUGAGUAAAUCAAUGGGUAAGGGAACACGAAAGUGCAACCUAAUCUUGAAAUUUGCUCGUGAUGGGGAUCGACGGUUGCAAUUUUCCGUCGUGAACGAGGAAUACCUUGUAGGCGCGUGUCAUCAUCACGCGCCGAAUACGUCCCUGCCCUUUGUACACACCGCCCGUCGCUCCUACCGAUUGAGUGCUCCGGUGAACAAUUUGGACUGCUUUGAUUCGAUUAGAAUUUGAAGCGGAAAGUUUAGUGAACCUUAUCACUUAGAGGAAGGAGAAGUCGUAACA